Glycine soja is the source of this 487-nucleotide long non-coding RNA. RefSeq lists it as uncharacterized. The transcript has 2 exons. The record is from RefSeq and is a predicted model, not a curated record. Lineage: Eukaryota; Viridiplantae; Streptophyta; Magnoliopsida; Fabales; Fabaceae.
UUUCUCACUCUCCAAGACCUCUAUACAAACAAAUAUUGGAUGUGAAGUUGUUGCAUAACUUGCAUUGAACAAUUAAUAGAAAUAACAGAAAAGUAAAAAAAGAAAUAUGGGUGCUUUCGCUGAGAAGCAAGAGGCUUUGGUGAAUAGCUCAUUCGAAGCAUUCAAGGCAAACAUUCAUCAAUACAAAUAUACAAUGUUGUGUUCUACACCUCGAUACUGGAGAAAGCACCUGCAGCAAAGGACUAGUUCUCAUUUCUAGCUAAUGGAGUAGACCCCCAGUAAUCCUAAGCUCACGGGCCAUGCUGAAAAGCUUUUUGGAUUGCUAAGUAUUAGCUAACUAAAAUUAUAGCUAUUUUAUGUGAUUAAUUUUAAGAUUAAACAUGUACUUAACACUCUUAAAGUAUCAACAAACAUACAUUGAAUUGUUAUUUAUAUUUUUACCAUAUCUCGUACUAGGAAUUGUAUAUAAAGUCCUAUUAAUUAGUAA